Long non-coding RNA from Canis lupus familiaris (dog), 2009 nucleotides. RefSeq lists it as uncharacterized. NCBI's taxonomy places the organism in Eukaryota, Metazoa, Chordata, Mammalia, Carnivora, Canidae. The transcript has 2 exons. The record is from RefSeq and is a predicted model, not a curated record.
CCGGGAAUGCUAAUGAAGCUCAGCAGCUGGUAAAAUAUUUACUUGGAGAUACCGGAGGCUUUAAAGUUCAGCCUCACAACAGCCGUGCAAACCACCGGACAGACUGAGGAUGUGUUUCUAGGUGCUUUUAUCCAAAUACGUGCCGGAGCCGCCACCCUCCCACUCAGAGGAAGCGCUUCAGCCUUGGCAGGGAACCACGUCCCUGAGCCUCACCCGGUGCUGAGAUGUGACCCCGGGGACUGUCCCUGAAUGCUGGCCUCACACCCUGGAGCGUGGACGGGACCCUGUGGCCGGUCUUGAGGGACACAGUUAUCGCCCUAAUCGGACAUGGGCGGACGGAGCAGGGCCUGCUGGCCAGGGCCAGAUGUGAACCUCUCGGCGCAGAGGCGAGUGGGGAAUCCAUCAGCGUCCACUGCGCGGAGGCCGGAGGCAGGAUGGCUUUUCCUGACGUUCCGGGAAGCCUGAAGCUUCCCCUGAACCAGCUCGUGUCCCCAGGACUGGCCCGCAGACGAGGGGGAGGCCAGCUGGUGUCUGCGGUCGCUCUGGCCGGCUCCCUCGAGCGCAACGCUGCGUGACUCUGGCUCUGCCCGUCGCCGUGAUGGCAAUGCCACCCAACUUCUCGGGGCCACAGUGCUUCUCAUCCCAUGAGGAGGAGGCCGUGGUGCCUCCCACAGGGUGUUCUCAGGAGGCAGGUGCGAAGUAGCAGACAGGUGGACGCUCUGUACCCGUGAGGACGGGAGGUGGACGCUCUGUACCCCGUGAGGACGGGAGGUGGACGCUCUGUACCCGUGAGGACGGGAGGUGCAGUGCUUAGGAAAGAGCAGAGCUGUGGUCAGAUUCCUGCAUCUUUACCAAGUACGUGUGUGUGAACACGAGGGUGCUGCUUACACACACUCACAGUUAAAGCCUCACACUCACUUCUCUGGGUCUCUGCCGUGAGCAGCUCACAGCGGGCUCUGUGGACGCGGGCGUCCCGAGCCGUGUGCCGUAUACACUUGUGCCCGACACCCCCGCCCCGCGCCUUCUCACCGAGCGCCGCGUCCCAGGUCAGGGAGGACUGUUGGGCAGGGCGCCGUGGCCGGAGAUUGAAAACCCUGCACGGGACGCUUGAAGUUGUGGACUUUCUUGGCGAGAGCACCAACGUUUACCAUGAUUGUGUUUUCGAUAGACAUUUGAGAGGUUGAGGGUGCCCUGUUAUAUGAUCUUCCGCUUUCUUUUCUUCCUUUUUAUUUUUGAAAAAUAUUAUUCAGGUAUUUUGAUCACAGAAUACGUAUUCAUUUCAGAAAACUCCGAUAAGCAAAACAUAGAAAAUCAAAACCAUGGACAAUGCUCACCCCAGACAUGGCGGGGACAGUUUGGGUGCAUCUUUCCAGCCUUGUCUGCGAGCGGAUGUGUGUGUGUGCGUGUGCAUCUGCACCCGUGUGGGAAUGCAUGUCUAUGUGUUUAUAUGUGUGCACGUGUGCAUGUGCAGGUAGGUGCAUGCAUGUGAGUACACAUGUGCACAAGUGUGCAUGUACGUGCACGUGUCUGUACAUGAGCACGUGUGUCCACAUGCACGUGGAUGCACAUGCGUGUGUGCGCACAUGUGUGCAUGUAUGUGUGUGCACACAUGUACAUGCUUACGUCUGUAUUGUGUGCACAUGUGUGCACGUGUGUGCCCAUGCCUGUGUGUGCACGUGUAUGCACGUGUGCCCGUGUGCCCGUGCCUGCACCCAGUACUGUAUGUCCCCGUGCUGAGCACACCCACCGACGGCCUGCUCCUUGCACAUACUACCGUGUCCCGUGGGCGUCACGUGUCCCCGCGCCCCCGUCUUUCGGGGGGGAGAGCCUUUCUCAGUGAUCUGUGAGAGCGCUUGCUUUACUACAUCUUGCGAUUCUGUUUUCACAGUUCCCCACUUUUUAAAAAUUAAAAACAAGGCCCUUGCGUGCCUAGCAAUGUCGAUUGGAUUCGCGGCCCGUAUGUUGUAAUUAAAAUCCAAUGUGAGCGUUUAAACAGAUUCGUCUACAAA